UUCGUCUCCUAUCUUUAUAUUCGCUUUUCUUCCCUUGCAUAAGUGAUAAUUGCAUACCUACUUUAAAUUUUUUCCUUUGUUUAUUUAGAUGUUACACUCAAGCGAGACACCCUGUAUAUACACUAAAGAAUUAAUUUGAAAAGUUGUCUAUGGUAGGGUGACACCCCUCCUUUGGUGAGGUUUGCCCUUUGCCCUCCUCACUGAUCGUGUCCUAUGUUCUCUUUUCGAAUGAUAAGUUGUCCUACUUUCUAACAAUUUCAGCAAAAAUUUGUGUGGUUCUGCACCGUACUGUUUAAGCUUUUUUAAUAUGUAUGUUAAUCAUUAAUGUUUGUAUUAUCUGUAGGUAGGUAUAUGGUACUUACGAUUAGAUAAUAAAUAGUCGAAGUAAUUAAUUUUUCUAAAAAAGAUUGGUUUUGUUCUCAAAAAUGCCCGCCAUACAUAAUAAUCUACUUAUGUAUGUACAUAGAGAAGGAAGUCAACAUGUAGUAUAUAAGAAAGGAAUGUGAUAACAAUUUGUAUGGUAGAUAUGAUUGGGCGACUUACGGGAACAAAUACCAAAAAUGUCAGACUUGUGUAUGCGCUUCUCCGUGGUGGUUUAUACCGUUUUCAUAUACAGUGAACUAGUUUCCACUAUUUCCAAAUAUAUAGUGAUUGUUUUUAUGUAUUUUACGUUGAUAAGAAGUCACUUCAAGGAUUGUUAUUUAGCGAGCUUAUCUGAUAAUAAAAUGUUGAGGACGAACCUGGAGAGGCACUACAGACUACAGGUUAUAUGAAGUCGAGAAGACGAAGCAGUGAUUUAAAAAAAUAUAAAGGAGUAAAUAAAGACUCUGAGUGGUGGAAGAUGUGGGCUUUGAGAAUGGCGAUGCCGUUGUUGGGGGUGCUGGUCUGGGUGAUCUCCAGCCAUGCAGGCACCUUCACACUAGCAUCCUUUAUACCACACUACUUCGAAGGUACAAGCCGCACUUAUACCCUAGUAGUGUUAGUUUAAAAGCACCAUGUGUCUAUAUAUGCACAUAUUAAUUUAAAUUUCUUAUUUAUAUUAUUUAUUGAAAAAUAACAAAAAGUUCGGGAUCAACGUUCUGUUGGAACUUAUUUGCUCUCAUCAGCACGCCAGUGCUAAUAGGAUGAUACUGAUCAAAGUUACUGCGCGGGAAAGAACCUAAUGCAAACUUAAAACAAAUAUUUAGAAUUAGUUUUCAA
This 1200-nucleotide unclassified non-coding RNA is filed under the name Agrilus planipennis (emerald ash borer). Its description in RNAcentral is "uncharacterized LOC108734316, transcript variant X3". The record is from RNAcentral. Lineage: Eukaryota; Metazoa; Arthropoda; Insecta; Coleoptera; Buprestidae.